This 465-nucleotide ribosomal RNA is filed under the name Vreelandella stevensii. Its description in RNAcentral is "partial 16S ribosomal RNA". It matches the Rfam family "Bacterial small subunit ribosomal RNA", at positions 338 to 795 of the family's 1533-position model. The record is from RNAcentral. Lineage: Bacteria; Pseudomonadati; Pseudomonadota; Gammaproteobacteria; Oceanospirillales; Halomonadaceae.
CCUACGGGAGGCUGCAGUGGGGAAUAUUGGACAAUGGGCGAAAGUCUGAUCCAGCCAUGCCGCGUGUGUGAAGAAGGCCUUCGGGUUGUAAAGCACUUUCAGUGGGGAAGAAAGCCUUGGGGCUAAUACCCUCGAGGAAGGACAUCACCCACAGAAGAAGCACCGGCUAACUCCGUGCCAGCAGCCGCGGUAAUACGGAGGGUGCGAGCGUUAAUCGGAAUUACUGGGCGUAAAGCGCGCGUAGGCGGUCUGAUAAGCCGGUUGUGAAAGCCCCGGGCUCAACCUGGGAACGGCAUCCGGAACUGUCAGGCUAGAGUGCAGGAGAGGAAGGUAGAAUUCCCGGUGUAGCGGUGAAAUGCGUAGAGAUCGGGAGGAAUACCAGUGGCGAAGGCGGCCUUCUGGACUGACACUGACGCUGAGGUGCGAAAGCGUGGGUAGCAAACAGGAUUAGAUACCCGGGUAGUC